ACAACAACCCCGGGUAUGAAAUGUAAAACUGCUAAGUCAGCAAUGAACAAGAUUGAACAGACAGUGGACAAACGAAGAUGGGACAUUGGAUACACCUAGAUGGACAGUAGACAAACUUGAAUGCACAGUUGACAGUAUUGGUCUCAUGGAGGAAAAACUAGAUGGACUCAACUCAACAACUCUGGAUGGAAAGUGGAAAACCAAGAAAAUUCAUACCUUGACCAACCAGUCAGUAACGAACAAGCUUGGAAACACAGUGGACAAACCAGGAUGGGACAUUGGAUACACCUAGAUGGACAGUGGACAAACAUGAAUGUACAGUGGGCUUUAUUGGACAUAUGGUGAAAAACUGGAUGGGCAUGAGUGGACAACUCUGGGUGGACAGUGGAAACCAAAAACAUUCAGACCGUGACCAACCAGGUAAAUACGCUGUCUUGUAACCAUCUUGAAUCAUGUAUACUAAAGAUAUCCAUGGUGGAGUGUCGAUUGAUACCCUUAAAUGACAUCUUGAUCUGUACUCAACUGAGGUCCUGAUCCAUACUUGGUCGACACUCAUUUGACACUUGAUCAACAGUUGGUCAAUAGUCGACCGAAGUGUUGAUGGAGUGUCGAUUGGGUAUCGAUUGAGUGUUGAUUGAGGUUAUCGAUUAACACUCGACUUGGAUGCCUUUAGUACACAUGAUCCACCAUCUUUGCUAGAUAUUCUUGCUAAAAUUUCAGGCAAAGCAAUCUGAACCUGAGGGAAUCUCCUCAUAGAUCUCAUUGCUUUCGAACACAGUAGUAUAGGGGGGAUUAACCAAAUACCAU
Long non-coding RNA from Orbicella faveolata, 807 nucleotides. The record is from RefSeq and is a predicted model, not a curated record. NCBI's taxonomy places the organism in Eukaryota, Metazoa, Cnidaria, Anthozoa, Scleractinia, Merulinidae.